GGAUCAUUACCGAGUUAUACAACUCCCAACCCGUGUGAACUAUACCUAUCGUUGCUUCGGCGGCCUCGCCCAGGGAGCCCACGGGCGGCCCUGACCACGGCGACCGCCGGAGGACCCAAACUCUGUCUUUCAGUGUAUUCUGAGUGGAAUCAUACAAAUGAAUCAAAACUUUCAACAACGGAUCUCUUGGUUCUGGCAUCGAUGAAGAACGCAGCGAAAUGCGAUAAGUAAUGUGAAUUGCAGAAUUCAGUGAAUCAUCGAAUCUUUGAACGCACAUUGCGCCCGCCAGCAUUCUGGCGGGCAUGCCUGUCCGAGCGUCAUUUCAACCCUCGACCGGCCCUUCGGGGGCGGUCGGUGUUGGAGCUCGGCGCCGCCCCGGCGGUCGCCGUCUCCCAAACUCAGUGGCGGUCACGCCGCAGCCUCCCCUGCGCAGUAGCACACCUCGCUGGCGGAGAGCGGCGCGGCCAUGCCGUGAAACCCCCGACCUUCUAAGGUUGACCUCGGAUCAGGUAGGAAUACCCGCUGAACUUAAGCAUAUCAAUAAGCGGAGGAAAAGAAACCAACAGGGAUUGCCCCAGUAACGGCGAGUGAAGCGGCAACAGCUCAAAUUUGAAAUCUGGCGCAAGCCCGAGUUGUAAUUUGCAGAGGAAGCUUCUGGCGCGGCGCCUUCCGAGUUCCCUGGAACGGGACGCCAUAGAGGGUGAGAGCCCCGUACGGUCGCGCGCUAAGCCUAUGUGAAGCUCCUUCGACGAGUCGAGUAGUUUGGGAAUGCUGCUCUAAAUGGGAGGUGUACGUCUUCUAAAGCUAAAUACCGGCCAGAGACCGAUAGCGCACAAGUAGAGUGAUCGAAAGAUGAAAAGCACUUUGAAAAGAGGGUUAAACAGUACGUGAAAUUGUUGAAAGGGAAGCGGUCACGACCAGACUUGGGCCUGCUAAUCAUCCGGCGUUCUCGCCGGUGCACUUGGCAGGUUCAGGCCAGCAUCAGUUUGUCCCGGGGGAUAAAGGCGCCGGGAAUGUGGCUCCCACGGGAGUGUUAUAGCCCGGCGUGUAAUACCCUGAGA
RNAcentral lists this ribosomal RNA (1061 nucleotides) under Sordariomycetes sp. genotype 743 JMUR-2016. RNAcentral's name for it is "eukaryotic LSU rRNA". The stretch from base 496 to 1061 matches the Rfam family "Eukaryotic large subunit ribosomal RNA", at positions 1 to 581 of the family's 3401-position model. Lineage: Eukaryota; Fungi; Ascomycota; Sordariomycetes. The record is from RNAcentral.